GACGAACGCUGGCGGCGUGCUUAACACUUGCAAGUCGAACGGAGAGGCCCUGCUUUUGUGGGGUGCUCGAGUGGCGAACGGGUGAGUAACACGUGAGUAACCUGCCCUUGACUUUGGGAUAACUUCAGGAAACUGGGGCUAAUACCGGAUAGGAGCUCCUGCUGCAUGGUGGGGGUUGGAAAGUUUCGGCGGUUGGGGAUGGACUCGCGGCUUAUCAGCUUGUUGGUGGGGUAGUGGCUUACCAAGGCUUUGACGGGUAGCCGGCCUGAGAGGGUGACCGGCCACAUUGGGACUGAGAUACGGCCCAGACUCCUACGGGAGGCAGCAGUGGGGAAUAUUGCACAAUGGGCGGAAGCCUGAUGCAGCAACGCCGCGUGCGGGAUGACGGCCUUCGGGUUGUAAACCGCUUUCGCCUGUGACGAAGCGUGAGUGACGGUAAUGGGUAAAGAAGCACCGGCUAACUACGUG
Molecule: ribosomal RNA, 468 nt
Filed under: uncultured bacterium
Lineage: Bacteria
Description: partial 16S ribosomal RNA
Rfam family: Bacterial small subunit ribosomal RNA
Source: RNAcentral